GGAUUUUUUUCCUCUCUAUCCCCUGCCCCAAAUGAGAAGCCAAGCAAGAAAACUGAGUUACCUGAUUAAAUCUUCCAUAUUGUUCGUUUGACUUUGAAACCUAAGCCAAGGUAUCCUGCAGAAGCCCCAAGAGCAUUUUGAGAACAUCAGUCAGUUCCUGGCUAGUCAGCUCCAGACUGUGUGUGGCUGUGGAUUUGGACGGCUUCGCAAAUGGGUAUUUCUUCACAAGAACUGUGUUUCCAGCAUUCGCUAAGACAGACCUCUCAGUAACUGGGGACCUGGCCUGCCCUGCCUACUGAGCUUGGGGGAAGAUCAGGUGGAGAUGAGUUGAUUAUAUUCCAUGAAGUAAUAGCUCCUCACCUGCCAGGGUUUAAACUACUUUUGCAGCAUCGCUUCACCUGUGGACUCUUUGAAAUUUUGCUUUCUUGGGAAAAAAAAAAAAAACAAAAAACGGGGUAAGAGGAGGUUGUUUUGAACAAGUUAGCGUCUUUUCCCUCCCUUCCAAGUUGAUACAAAGGAGCAGGCUGUGACUCCAUUGGAUUUUGCACCUUCACAUCAAAAU
Molecule: long non-coding RNA, 562 nt
Filed under: Sus scrofa (pig)
Lineage: Eukaryota; Metazoa; Chordata; Mammalia; Artiodactyla; Suidae
Description: lncRNA (ENSSSCG00070004207.1)
Source: RNAcentral